Molecule: unclassified non-coding RNA, 332 nt
Filed under: soil metagenome
Description: partial contains 5.8S ribosomal RNA, internal transcribed spacer 2, and large subunit ribosomal RNA
Rfam family: 5.8S ribosomal RNA (bases 1-120)
Source: RNAcentral
GAUGAAGAACGUAGCAAAAUGCGAUAAGUAAUGUGAAUUGCAGAAUUCAGUGAAUCAUCGAAUCUUUGAACGCACAUUGCGCCCGCCAGUAUUCUGGCGGGCAUGCCUGUUCGAGCGUCAUUUCAACCCUCAAGCACAGCUUGGUGUUGGGACUCGCGUUAAUUCGCGUUCCCCAAAUUGAUUGGCGGUCACGUCGAGCUUCCAUAGCGUAGUAGUAAAACCCUCGUUACUGUUAAUCGUCGCGGCCACGCCGUUAAACCCCAACUUCUGAAUGUUGACCUCGGAUCAGGUAGGAAUACCCGCUGAACUUAAGCAUAUCAAUAAGCGGAGGA